CGUGAGGAACUUGCCCAUGAGCUGGGGACAACAUUCGGAAACGGAUGCUAAUACCCCAUAGGUGGAUUGGCCGCAUGACUAAUUCAUUAAAGGUGGCUCUGCUACCACUCAUGGAUAGCCUCGCGGCGUAUUAGCUAGUUGGUAAGGUAAUGGCUUACCAAGGCAGUGAUACGUAGCCGACUUGAGAGGGUGAUCGGCCACACUGGGACUGAGACACGGCCCAG
This 224-nucleotide ribosomal RNA is filed under the name uncultured Carnobacteriaceae bacterium. Its description in RNAcentral is "partial 16S ribosomal RNA". It matches the Rfam family "Bacterial small subunit ribosomal RNA", at positions 116 to 334 of the family's 1533-position model. Lineage: Bacteria; Bacillati; Bacillota; Bacilli; Lactobacillales; Carnobacteriaceae. The record is from RNAcentral.